UUAAGCUGUUUUUCUCCUUAAAGAUACUGUACCUGUUCUUCUGAUUUGCUUUCUGCUUUCAUUCCUUUCGUCUUCCUGUUAGUUCAGCACUGGAGUGAAUUCCCAUCUCAAUGAACAGCCAAUAUUCUAAGCCAAAGCCUUCUCACACCCACUCACUUACAUUGCCUUAAAACACCCACAGCCUGGUAACUGUGAAAUGCUACUCUGGCAGCUCUGCUAUCAAUCCACACAGAGCCCUGGUGCUGUUUCCUGGAGACCAGAGAAGCUUCUCAUGAAUGUAGCUGAACUGGAAGCACCAUAACGAAUCCUGCCUGCUUAAAACUGAUCAUACACACCUCUGCAUCUUGUCACCCUCUGACUGUGGACAGCUUAUUACCCUCUGACUUAUGUGUACUGUGUCUUUUCUAUGAAAUGAAGACAAUAAAAGCAUCUGCCUCAUAAAGUGUUAAUGAGGACUAAAUGAGAUUACGUUGGUAAAAGACUCAUCUACAGUAUUAAAUUAUCUACAUCGCUCAA
Long non-coding RNA from Phodopus roborovskii (desert hamster), 516 nucleotides. RefSeq lists it as uncharacterized. NCBI's taxonomy places the organism in Eukaryota, Metazoa, Chordata, Mammalia, Rodentia, Cricetidae. The record is from RefSeq and is a predicted model, not a curated record. The transcript has 2 exons.